Molecule: ribosomal RNA, 301 nt
Filed under: uncultured bacterium
Lineage: Bacteria
Description: partial 16S ribosomal RNA
Rfam family: Bacterial small subunit ribosomal RNA
Source: RNAcentral
CAGUCGCCGCGGGAAAACGUAGGUGGCAAGCGUUGUCCGGAAUUAUUGGGCGUAAAGCGCGCGCAGGUGGUUUAAUAAGUCUGAUGUGAAAGCCCACGGCUCAACCGUGGAGGGUCAUUGGAAACUGUUAAACUUGAGUGCAGGAGAGAAAAGUGGAAUUCCUAGUGUAGCGGUGAAAUGCGUAGAGAUUAGGAGGAACACCAGUGGCGAAGGCGGCUUUUUGGCCUGUAACUGACACUGAGGCGCGAAAGCGUGGGGAGCAAACAGGAUUAGAUACCCGCGUAGUCCCUGUCUCUUAUCC